CCGAACCGACUAAUGUUGAAAAAUUAGCGGAUGACCUGUGGCUGGGGGUGAAAGGCCAAUCAAACCGGGAGAUAGCUGGUUCUCCCCGAAAGCUAUUUAGGUAGCGCCUCGUGAAUUCAUCUCCGGGGGUAGAGCACUGUUUCGGCUAGGGGGCCAUCCCGGCUUACCAACCCGAUGCAAACUGCGAAUACCGGAGAAUGUUAUCACGGGAGACACACGGCGGGUGCUAACGUCCGUCGUGAAGAGGGAAACAACCCAGACCGCCAGCUAAGGUCCCAAAGUCAUGGUUAAGUGGGAAACGAUGUGGGAAGGCCCAGACAGCCAGGAUGUUGGCUUAGAAGCAGCCAUCAUUUAAAGAAAGCGUAAUAGCUCACUGGUCGAGUCGGCCUGCGCGGAAGAUGUAACGGGGCUAAACCAUGCACCGAAGCUGCGGCAGCGACACUGUGUGUUG
Molecule: ribosomal RNA, 451 nt
Filed under: Salmonella enterica
Lineage: Bacteria; Pseudomonadati; Pseudomonadota; Gammaproteobacteria; Enterobacterales; Enterobacteriaceae
Also listed under: 2 other names
Description: partial 23S ribosomal RNA
Rfam family: Bacterial large subunit ribosomal RNA
Source: RNAcentral